Molecule: long non-coding RNA, 230 nt
Filed under: Durio zibethinus
Lineage: Eukaryota; Viridiplantae; Streptophyta; Magnoliopsida; Malvales; Malvaceae
Description: long non-coding RNA (DZIB_LNC001156)
Source: RNAcentral
UUGAGAAAAAGAAGAAAAAAAUAAAAAAUGAAGAGGCAAAAAUAUGAAAAAAAAAUAAAAAGAAAAAAAUUUAUAGAAAAUUUUAAAACAAAGAAAAAAGUGAACAAAAAAAAAAUGAAAGCACAUAAAAAAAAAGUAAAAAAAAGAAGAAAAAUUCGGAAGGAGAAAAAGUUAAUGAAAAAUUAUAAAAAUGCAAUAGAAAAUAACCAAGAAUGAUAAAAGAAAAAAAG